RNAcentral lists this ribosomal RNA (498 nucleotides) under uncultured bacterium. RNAcentral describes it as "partial 16S ribosomal RNA". It matches the Rfam family "Bacterial small subunit ribosomal RNA", at positions 28 to 523 of the family's 1533-position model. The record is from RNAcentral.
GAUGAACGCUGGCGGCGUGCCUAAUACAUGCAAGUCGAACGCUUCACUUCGGUGAAGAGUGGCGAACGGGUGAGUAAUACAUAAGUAACCUGGCAUCUACAGGGGGAUAACUGAUAGAAACGUCAGCUAAGACCGCAUAGGUGUAGAGAUCGCAUGAACUCUAUAUGAAAAGUGCUACGGGACUGGUAGAUGAUGGACUUAUGGCGCAUUAGCUGGUUGGUAGGGUAACGGCCUACCAAGGCGACGAUGCGUAGCCGACCUGAGAGGGUGACCGGCCACACUGGGACUGAGACACGGCCCAGACUCCUACGGGAGGCAGCAGUAGGGAAUUUUCGGCAAUGGGGGAAACCCCGACCGAGCAACGCCGCGUGAAGGAAGAAGUAAUUCGUUAUGUAAACUUCUGUCAUAGAGGAAGAACGGUGGAUAUAGGGAAUGAUAUCCAAGUGACGGUACUCUAUAAGAAAGCCACGGCUAACUACGUGCCAGCCGCCGCAGUAA